Triticum dicoccoides is the source of this 1464-nucleotide RNA transcript. RefSeq lists it as uncharacterized. The record is from RefSeq and is a predicted model, not a curated record. The transcript has 5 exons. Lineage: Eukaryota; Viridiplantae; Streptophyta; Magnoliopsida; Poales; Poaceae.
GUUCUGGAAAAAGGUCUUAUCCAGUUAGCCCCCGAUCCCCCUUUCCUCAUCUUAGAACGGCGGUGGCGAAGAAGCACAUGAGCACACCGGCGUCGACGCCAAAAAGGUCGACGGGAAGGUGGCACAGGAGGGGCUUAGCGAGAAGGUUGGCCGGAGAACCGGAGCAGUUGCGCCCCGUCCCCUCCUCCCCCUUUCUCGGAGCUGGAGCUAUGCCGUCGGCGGCGGCGGCGGCGUUGAGGGUGCCUGGUUUCGUCGUCGUCGAGGUACAUACAUGGUCCUCUUGCGAGCGCGAUUUUCCUCCCCUGCCGUCACCGCCAGCUGCUCUCCCCCGUCGUCCGAUCCCAUGGGCGCGCCCUGGUCUAGGCGUGUCGACGGCGAUGCUGCGUCUGUCGUGUCGCCGGAGUACCUGCGGCGCCGCGGAGAGGCCCGACAACCGCAGCUUCCGCUUCGCCGCCGCCGACCAACUCUCGAGCUUCAGCCGACCCCAACGUGAGAACCUUCAGGUUGCUGUGUGCGCAUCCAAAGCCGUCGUGCAGCCACAACAGGGUUUUUGAUAGUAGCCCUGGAUUGCAUGAGAGGGCAGGACCAGAGCUCACCCCGCCGGUGGGGUCAUGCGACGAGCCGGGGCGAAGAACACCUUCAUCGACAUGAUGGCAUCCCCCAAUCAAUCUAGUACAUCGGGUGCUCUGAGCAAACUCCUUCUACAUUUCUGCUUCGUCUCCAAGGGUGCAGGUUGUGGGAUAGCGGCCCGUGUGCAACUACCAUAAGAGCACACUGACAGUGAGCAUCUCCAAGAGCAAGGGUGGAGAGGACGCUGCAGCUCAAGGGGGGCCUCACUAGGUGAAGUGAAGCUCGGCCACUGUUUCUUCCUCUAGUGAAGCUUGGCCACCGUUUCCCCAAAUCCACAAGACUGCUCCACCCCGGCCGAGCCAGCUGCAAGGGAUGGCCGGAGGGCUGCUGCGAGAGCUGACUGGAGACGGCGCAGCUUCACCGCCACACGUAUCUCGCUGCUAGCAGCAGGGAGACGGCGAAGUACACAAGCAGCAGAGCAACGACGAGAUCUACGAGCGGCCGACCUGGACGAGGAGGGUAGCAACCAGACGAGGGGCAUGCCUGGGCCGCCGUGCUAUCUUACGGCUGCACGAGGCCUCUGACGGCAGGGUCGCGAUAGCUGGACCUCGGCGCCCUCCUGCCUGGCCAAGCCCCAGUAGCAAAACCAAAGGUCAAUUACUUCUUGUUACCUAGAACUAAUUUAUUCCUUUCUUCAUCAUUAGUUCAUACCGUACUGCUGCUAUUUCUCGAUGUCACAGGCGUGAAAGCAUAGCAAGAGAGAGCUGAGCAUGUCAUUGGAAUAUUUAAAAGUGAUAAGUACUCAACAGAUCAUUGUUGCAAUUAAAUGUAACUAAACUGAUUGUUCUGUCUUCGGAAACUAGGAGUCAAUUGAAAUUAAACCAAUUGAAGUAA